CCUACGGGAGGCUGCAGUAGGGAAUAUUGCUCAAUGGGGGAAACCCUGAAGCAGCAACGCCGCGUGGAGGAUGAAGGUUUUCGGAUUGUAAACUCCUUUUGUUAGAGAAGAUAAUGACGGUAUCUAACGAAUAAGCACCGGCUAACUCCGUGCCAGCAGCCGCGGUAAUACGGAGGGUGCAAGCGUUACUCGGAAUCACUGGGCGGAAAGAGCGCGUAGGCGGGAUAGCAAGUCAGAUGUGAAAUCCUAUGGCUUAACCAUAGAACUGCAUUUGAAACUGUUAUUCUAGAGUAUGGGAGAGGUAGGUGGAAUUCUUGGUGUAGAGGUAAAAUCCGUAGAGAUCAAGAGGAAUACUCAUUGCGAAGGCGACCUGCUAGAACAUAACUGACGCUGAUGCGCGAAAGCGUGGGGAGCAAACAGGAUUAGAUACCCCAGUAGUC
RNAcentral lists this ribosomal RNA (440 nucleotides) under uncultured bacterium. RNAcentral's name for it is "partial 16S ribosomal RNA". It matches the Rfam family "Bacterial small subunit ribosomal RNA", at positions 338 to 795 of the family's 1533-position model. The record is from RNAcentral.